CUGAAACGGUCUGCUUUCUUCCAAAGGAAACUGCUAAGAAUGUUCUAAGAACUUUUAAACUUCUAAGAGAAGCCAAAAAGGAAACAGGAACAGAUGCACCCGUGACAACCGAUGGAUGCACAGAAAACAGAUUCCCACCUGGGGACAGAAAGGAACCGAGGGGUCUCCCGUGAGGUCCAGACAAGAAAGCGCCUUUCAAUGCUGGCAUUCUAACAAUAGUUCAGAAAGAUUUCCAGAGCCACCCUACCCUCCCAGGCUCUGUCCUCUGCAAGAUGCUCUCACGCCAAUUAUUGCAACGGUGAGCACGCGGGACUUGAUGGAGGGACGGGGCCAUGGGCACCUCGGCGUUUCCUCCAAGUGCUCCUGCGCUGCUCUCUGGCCUGGCCAGCUGGACCCCAUCACACAGCAGCUCUGAUUUACGGGCCGUGGUGGGGACAUCGCUCAGGUGAGGAAGACGUGCC
Molecule: long non-coding RNA, 461 nt
Filed under: Sus scrofa (pig)
Lineage: Eukaryota; Metazoa; Chordata; Mammalia; Artiodactyla; Suidae
Description: lncRNA (ENSSSCG00055012585.1)
Source: RNAcentral